Molecule: ribosomal RNA, 321 nt
Filed under: Triticum aestivum (bread wheat)
Lineage: Eukaryota; Viridiplantae; Streptophyta; Magnoliopsida; Poales; Poaceae
Description: partial small subunit ribosomal RNA
Source: RNAcentral
AUGGCCAUCGACUCCGUUGGCUGGCGCUCGUCCAACCACCAUGCACGCGCUGAUGGCAUCGCCGUUGAUGCUGGCUGGCCCAACUCCCGUACUCGUACGGUUGCAGCGGUGCCGCCGCCGACGAGGCGAAUCACUGGCCGCACGAUGGACCCCUGGCCCACAGCUGGUGACCCUCGCAGUUCCCCUUGCUUUGCCAAAAGGGGAAAAUGCGGUGGAAAGAAAAAGAGGUUGGCAGAGGAGGCCAGACGUGCAAAGGCUGCAUCCCUUGCGGCUGCUUUACCCCCCGCCCUGCCACGUGUGGCCCGCCUGUCCCUGCUCUAG